This 491-nucleotide ribosomal RNA is filed under the name uncultured bacterium. RNAcentral's name for it is "partial 16S ribosomal RNA". It matches the Rfam family "Bacterial small subunit ribosomal RNA", at positions 29 to 507 of the family's 1533-position model. The record is from RNAcentral.
AUUGAACGCUGGCGGCAUGCUUUACACAUGCAAGUCGAACGGUAACAGGCCUUCGGGUGCUGACGAGUGGCGAACGGGUGAGUAAUGCAUCGGAACGUACCCAGAGGUGGGGGAUAACGCAGCGAAAGCUGUGCUAAUACCGCAUGUGAUCUGAGGAUGAAAGCGGGGGACCGAGCAGCAAUGUUUGGCCUCGCGCCUUUGGAGCGGCCGAUGUCGGAUUAGCUAGUUGGUGGGGUAAAGGCCUACCAAGGCGACGAUCCGUAGCUGGUCUGAGAGGACGACCAGCAAAACUGGGCCUGAGAAACGGCCCAGAAUCCUACGGGAGGAAGCGGUGGGGAAUUUUGGACAAGGGGCGCAAGCCUGAUCCAGCAAUGCGGGGUGGGGGAAGAAGGCCUUCGGGUGGUAAACCGCUUUUGGAAGGAACGAAACGGUGUCGGUAAAAACCGGGCGUUAUGACGGUACCUGCAGAAUAAGCACCGGCUAACUACGUG